CCUACGGGAGGUAGCAGUGAGGAAUAUUGGUCAAUGGACGAGAGUCUGAACCAGCCAAGUAGCGUGAAGGAUGACUGCCCUAUGGGUUGUAAACUUCUUUUAUAUGGGAAUAAAAUGUUCCACGUGUGGGAUUUUGUAUGUACCAUAUGAAUAAGGAUCGGCUAACUCCGUGCCAGCAGCCGCGGUAAUACGGAGGAUCCGAGCGUUAUCCGGAUUUAUUGGGGUUAAAGGGAGCGUAGGUGGAUUGUUAAGUCAGUUGUGAAAGUUUGCGGCUCAACCGUAAAAUUGCAGUUGAAACUGGCAGUCUUGAGUACAGUAGAGGUGGGCGGAAUUCGUGGUGUAGCGGUGAAAUGCUUAGAUAUCACGAAGAACUCCGAUUGCGAAGGCAGUUCACUGGACUGCAACUGACACUGAGGCUCGAAAGUGUGGGUAUCAAACAGGAUUAGAUACCCUAGUAGUC
RNAcentral lists this ribosomal RNA (460 nucleotides) under uncultured bacterium. RNAcentral describes it as "partial 16S ribosomal RNA". It matches the Rfam family "Bacterial small subunit ribosomal RNA", at positions 338 to 795 of the family's 1533-position model. The record is from RNAcentral.